Molecule: ribosomal RNA, 465 nt
Filed under: uncultured bacterium
Lineage: Bacteria
Description: bacterial SSU rRNA
Rfam family: Bacterial small subunit ribosomal RNA
Source: RNAcentral
CCAGACUCCUACGGGAGGCAGCAGUGAGGAAUAUUGGUCAAUGGGCGGAAGCCUGAACCAGCCAAGUCGCGUGAGGGAAGAAGGCCCUGCGGGUCGCAUACCUCUUUGGACGGGGAGCAAGGCCGCCGACGUGUCGGCGGAAGGAGAGUACCCGUAGAACAAGCAUCGGCUAACUCCGUGCCAGCAGCCGCGGUAAUACGUAGGGAGCAAGCGUUAUCCGGAAUUAUUGGGUGUAAAGGGUGCGUAGACGGGAUAACAAGUUGGUUGUGAAACCCCUCGGCUCAACUGAGGAACUGCAACCAAAACUAUUAUUCUUGAGUGCAGGAGAGGAAAGUGGAAUUCCUAGUGUAGCGGUGAAAUGCGUAGAUAUUAGGAAGAACACCGGUGGCGAAGGCGACUUUCUGGACUGUAACUGACGUUGAGGCACGAAAGUGUGGGGAGCAAACAGGAUUAGAUACCCUGGUA